Chelonia mydas (Green sea turtle) is the source of this 514-nucleotide long non-coding RNA. RefSeq lists it as uncharacterized. The transcript is spliced from 2 exons. Lineage: Eukaryota; Metazoa; Chordata; Testudines; Cheloniidae. The record is from RefSeq and is a predicted model, not a curated record.
GUGGCAGCAGCGAAACCUGCAGAGCCCGGGGCGGCAGCCUGGAACCUGGGCAGCAGCGGAGCCCCGCAUAAAACGUGGGGAUGCUGCAGCCCCCCUGCACUGCUAGUUCCCAUGCUUAUGUUUUGGGGCCCCCUGUGGUUGGGGCCCUGUGCUAUGGCAUGGCAUGUUUCGGGGUAAAUCCACUCCUGAAGUAAGGUGUAUAGAUCCCCAGAGAUCGCAGUGUCGCUCGUGAAUCUUUGUGUGUGUGAAGAGUUGUCGGUCUUUUCUGUGAAGAGUUUGGGCCCUUCGAAUGGCAAGUCUUCGACUGUCGAUUGUACUUCCCUAGGAAACCCAGAGAGAUGGAGCCAUGAAGUCCUUCACAUCACUGCAGUCGCCACUGUCCUUGCAGCUGUGUCUGCAGAGUCCAGUGCAGCUUGGAGGGCUGUUCUGGAGACGAGUUGUCCCUCUGAUACAAGUGCAGUGAAUUGUUCUUUUUUGUCUUCAGAAAUAUAAUCAAUAAAUUCAGAAAACUUUG